GGCGGACGGGUGAGUAAUGCCUAGGAAUCUGCCUGAUAGUGGGGGACAACGUUUCGAAAGGAGCGCUAAUACCGCAUACGUCCUACGGGAGAAAGCAGGGGACCUUCGGGCCUUGCGCUAUCNGAUGAGCCUAGGUCGGAUUAGCUAGUUGGUGAGGUAAUGGCUCACCAAGGCGACGAUCCGUAACUGGUCUGAGAGGAUGAUCAGUCACACUGGAACUGAGACACGGUCCAGACUCCUACGGGAGGCAGCAGUGGGGAAUAUUGGACAAUGGGCGAAAGCCUGAUCCAGCCAUGCCGCGUGUGUGAAGAAGGUCUUCGGAUUGUAAAGCACUUUAAGUUGGGAGGAAGGGUUGUAGAUUAAUACUCUGCAAUUUUGACGUUACCGACAGAAUAAGCACCGGCUAACUCUGUGCCAGCAGCCGCGGUAAUACAGAGGGUGCAAGCGUUAAUCGGAAUUACUGGGCGUAAAGCGCGCGUAGGUGGUUUNNNAAGUUGGAUGUGAAAUCCCCGGGCUCAACCUGGGAACUGCAUCCAAAACUGGCAAGCUAGAGUAUGGUAGAGGGUGGUGGAAUUUCCUGUGUAGCGGUGAAAUGCGUAGAUAUAGGAAGGAACACCAGUGGCGAAGGCGACCACCUGGACUGAUACUGACACUGAGGUGCGAAAGCGUGGGGAGCAAACAGGAUUAGAUACCCUGGUAGUCCACGCCGUANACGAUGUCAACUAGCCGUUGGGAGCCUUGAGCUCUUAGUGGCGCAGCUAACGCAUUAAGUUGACCGCCUGGGGAGUACGGCCGCAAGGUUAAAACUNNNNNGAAUUGACGGGGGCC
Molecule: ribosomal RNA, 828 nt
Filed under: uncultured bacterium
Lineage: Bacteria
Description: bacterial SSU rRNA
Rfam family: Bacterial small subunit ribosomal RNA
Source: RNAcentral